RNAcentral lists this ribosomal RNA (1249 nucleotides) under metagenome. Its description in RNAcentral is "SSU rRNA". It matches the Rfam family "Eukaryotic small subunit ribosomal RNA", at positions 558 to 1800 of the family's 1831-position model. The record is from RNAcentral.
AGUCUGGUGCCAGCAGCCGCGGUAAUUCCAGCUCCAAUAGCGUAUAUUAAAGUUGUUGCAGUUAAAAAGCUCGUAGUCUGAGUCUUGGUUGAUGUGGAACGUCCGUGGCCGCUUCAAAACGGUCACGCGCAUGUGAUGCAUCUGGCCAUUAUUGUACUUCGGAGGAACAUGGGUGCUUUUAACUAAGUGCUCAUGGGAUUCCGAUAGUUUACUUUGAGAAAAAUAGAGUGUUCAAAGCAGGCGUUUUUGCCUUUGAAUACAUUAGCAUGGGAUAAUGAAAUAGGACAUUGGUUCUAUUUUGUUGGUUUACGGACCGAUGUAAUGAUUAAUAGGAACAGUUGGGGACAUUCAUAUUCCAUGGCUAGAGGUGAAAUUCUUGGAUUCAUGGAAGAUGAACUACUGCGAAAGCAUUUGUCAAAGAUGUUUUCAUUGAUCAAGAACGAAAGUUAGGGGAGCAAAGACGAUCAGAUACCGUCGUAGUCUUAACCAUAAACGAUGCCGACUAGGGAUCGGUGGGUGUUAGUUUUAUGACUCCAUCGGCACCUCAUGGGAAACCAAAGUCUUUGGGUUCCGGGGGGAGUAUGGUCGCAAGGCUGAAACUUAAAGGAAUUGACGGAAGGGCACCACCAGGAGUGGAGCCUGCGGCUUAAUUUGACCCAACACGGGAAAACUCACCAGGUCCAGAUAUGGUAAGGAUUGACAGAUUGAGAGCUCUUUCUUGAUUCCAUGAAAGGUGGCGCAUGGCCGUUCUUAGUUGGUGGAGUGAUUUGUCUGGUUAAUUCCGUUAACGAACGAGACCUUGACCUGCUAACUAGUCACGGGAAGCAUUUUUUGCUUGCCGGCUGUACUUCUUAGAGGGACAAUCUGUGUUUCCAGCAGAUGGAAGCUCGAGGCAAUAACAGGUCUGUGAUGCCCUUAGAUGUCCUGGGCUGCACGCGCGCUACACUGACGAACUCAACGAGUUUAUCACCUUGGCAGAGAUGUCUGGGUAAUCUUUUAAAGGUUCGUCGUGAUGGGGAUAGAUGAUUGUAAUUAUUCGUCUUGAACGAGGAAUUCCUAGUAAGUGUGAGUCAUCAGCUCGCGCUGAUUACGUCCCUGCCCUUUGUACACACCGCCCGUCGCUCCUACCGAUUGAAUGGUCCGGUGAGAACGUCGGAUCACGCGCCAGAUACUGGUUCACGCCAGUGACUUGUGCGAGAGAAGUUGUUCAAACCUUACCAUUUAGAGGAAGGAGAAGUCGUAACAAGGU